This 3097-nucleotide ribosomal RNA is filed under the name Candidatus Saccharimonadota bacterium. RNAcentral's name for it is "Candidatus Saccharibacteria bacterium 23S ribosomal RNA". It matches the Rfam family "Bacterial large subunit ribosomal RNA". Lineage: Bacteria; Candidatus Saccharimonadota. The record is from RNAcentral.
AGUAGUUACGGGCAUAUGAUGAAUGCCUUGACGUGCAAUGCCGAUGAAGGACGUAGUAGGCUGCGAAAAGCCUCGGGGAGCUGCCAAACAAGCUUUGAUCCGUGGAUAUCCGAAUGGGAAAACCCAGUACGAGUAAUGUCGUAUUACCCAUAACUGAAUACAUAGGUUAUGUGGAGGGCACCCGGAGAACUGAAACAUCUUAGUACCCGGAGGAAAAGAAAUCAACCGAGAGUCCCUUAGUAGCGGCGAGCGAAACGGGAUGAGCCAAAACUUAUCUGUUUCUUCACCUUGCGUGAAGUUUUCUUAAGUAAUAACAGAGGGGGUUGCGAGGUAUCGACUCUUUUGUAUCAAUAGAGAAGUUGACCAGCUUUAUAGCUGAACAGCUUCUCUGAUAUAAAAGCCAUCGUUAAGAUCGAAUGGAUGAAGUUACAAAACAAGAGCGUUAUUAGAAGGAGCCUGGAAAGGACCACCAAAGAGCGUGAUAGUCGCGUAUAAUAAAACCUUUUGUCUUUAUUGUUGAUAUUCUCAAGUAGGACGGGACACGUGAAACCCUGUCUGAACCCGGGAGGACCACCUUCCAAGGCUAAUUACAUUGCAUGAUCGAUAGUGCACAAGUACCGUGAGGGAAAGGUGAAAAGAACCCCGUAAGGGGAGUGAAAUAGAAUCCUGAAAUCAUAUGCUUACAAUGAGUCGGAGCACCUUCGGGUGUGACGGCGUGCUUUUUGUAGAACGAUCCAGCGAGUUAAUAUAUACGGCAAGGUUAAGUGUGCAAACGCCACGGAGCCGAAGUGAAAGCGAGGGUUAACUGCCCGACUUAGUCGUAUGUAUUAGACCCGAAACUAGGUGACCUAACCAUGGGCAGGCUGAAGCCGUCGUAACAGGCGGUGGAGGGCCGAACCGUAGUGUGUUGCAAAACGCCCGGAUGACCUGUGGUUAGCGGUGAAAUGCCAAUCGAACCUAGAGAUAGCUGGUUCUCCUCGAAAUAGCUUUAGGGCUAGCGUCAUAAACUACCUAUCGGGGGUAGAGCACUGAAUGGGUUGAGGGCUCCUCGGAGUACCUCGCUCAAUCAAACUCCGAAUACCGAUAGAGACUAUUAUGGCAGUUAGAACGGCGGUGCUAAGAUCGUCGCUCGAAAGGGAAACAGCCCAGAUCGCCAUCUAAGGCCCCCAAGUCAUAGCUAAGUGGGAAACGGGGUGAGAUUGCAUAAACAACCAGGAUGUUGGCUUAGAAGCAGCCAUGCAUUUAAAGAGUGCGUAACAGCUCACUGGUCAAUUGUGAUCUUGCACGGAAAAUAUAACGGGGCUCAAGCUAUGCGCCGAAGAUGCGAAUUCUAUGUUUACAUAGAGUGGUAGAGGAGCGUUCCUCGGGCACUGAAGCUGAACCGUAAGGUUUGGUGGAGCGCGGGGAAGUGAGAAUGCUGGAAUGAGUAACUAUAAGGUAGGUGAGAAUCCUACCCACCGUAAGACCAAGGUUUCCUGGGCAACGUUUAUCGUCCCAGGGUUAGUCGGGCCUAAGCCGAGGACGAAAGUCGUAGGCGAUGGACAACAGGUUGAUAUUCCUGUACCGGCUACUUUGUUCCCAUACAAGACGCAGGAUGGUAGCGUGAGCGGAUUUUUGGCUAUAUCCGUCCAAGUGCGUAGGCUUCGGCUGAAACACGAAUGAAACGAACCGCAAGGUUUGAAUUCGCGUGAGCCAAACUGACCAGAAAAUUGUAUGAUUAAUAGAAGUAGCCGCCCGUACCGCAAACCGACACAGGUGGUCGGGUCGAGUAGACCAAGGUGCUCGGGAGAACCCUCGUUAAGGAACUCGGCAAUACAGCGACCGUAACUUCGGGAUAAGGUCUGCCCCGCCAAUUUAGGACGGGAGAUAUUGUUCGGAUUCUUAACAAUAAUUUUUUAAAAUAACAAAAACGUUGAAGAUAAUAGUGUAAUCGCUUAAGUUUUCGGACGUGUCUCGCGAAUUAAAUUGGCGGGGCCGCAGCGAAAGAGCCCAAGCGACUGUUUACCAAAAACACAGGUCUGUGCUAACACGUAAGUGGAUGUAUACGGAUUGACGCCUGCCCGAUGCCGGAAGGUUAAGGAGAGAGGUUCACGCCUCGAACUGAAGCCCCGGUCAAUGGCGGCCCUAACUAUAAGGGUCCUAAGGUAGCGAAAUUCCUUGUCGGGUAAGUUCCGACCCGCACGAAUGGCGUAACGAUUUGGGCACUGUCUCAACGAGGGACCCGGUGAAAUUGCAAUAGCGGUAAAGAUGCCGUUUACCCGCACCAAGACGGAAAGACCCCGUGGAGCUUUACUACAACUUGGCAUUGGAUUUGGUCAUAUACUGUGUAGCAUAGGUGGGAGACUUUGAAGCUUCGGCGCUAGCCGAAGUGGAGUCAUCAGUGAAAUACCACCCUGUAUGUGACUUGGUUCUUACCGUAACCGUUAUCCGGUUACGGAACAGUGUCUGGUGGGUAGUUUAACUGGGGCGGUUGCCUCCUAAACAGUAACGGAGGCGUUCAAAGGUUAGCUAAGUUCGGAUAGAAAUCGAACUGAUAGGGUAAGCCCAUAAGCUAGCUUGACUGCGAGACUUACAAGUCAAGCAGGUGCGAAAGCAGGAGCUAAUGACCCACUCAUAACACGUGGAAGUGUGAGAGCGCAACGGAUAAAAGUUACCCCGGGGAUAACAGGCUUAUAGCGCCCAAUAGUCCACAUAGACGGCGCUGUUUGGCACCUCGAUGUCGGCUCGUCCUAUCCUGGAGCAGGAGCAUGUUCCAAGGGUUUGGCUGUUCGCCAAUUAAAAGGGUACGCGAGCUGGGUUCAGAACGUCGUGAGACAGUUCGGUCCCUAUCUGGUGUGGGCGUUUAGAAAUUUGAGAAGAGUUGCUCCUAGUACGAGAGGACCGGAGUGAACGAACCGCUGGUGUAUCGGUUGUCAUGCCAAUGGCAUUGCCGAGUAGCUACGUUCGGACGGGAUAAACGCUGAAAGCAUAUAAGCGUGAAGCCUCCUUCAAGAUUAGAUUUCUCCAUUAGACUCGCAGUAGACGACUGCGUUGAUAGGCACCAAGUGUAAGCACAGUAAUGUGUUCAGCUGAGGUGUACUAAUAGUCGAUUGACUUU